Molecule: small RNA, 119 nt
Filed under: Paenibacillus ihuae
Lineage: Bacteria; Bacillati; Bacillota; Bacilli; Caryophanales; Paenibacillaceae
Description: ydaO/yuaA leader
Rfam family: c-di-AMP riboswitch aptamer (ydaO/yuaA leader)
About the family: This family represents a conserved RNA structure found upstream of the ydaO and yuaA genes in Bacillus subtilis and related genes in other bacteria. The ydaO/yuaA element is thought to act as a genetic "off" switch for the ydaO and yuaA genes in its native state. It is believed that the element may be triggered during osmotic shock leading to activation of ydaO, a predicted amino acid transporter gene, and members of the yuaA-yubG operon which code for KtrA and KtrB K+ transporters.
Source: RNAcentral
ACGCUUAAUUUCCAGAAUUUACAGCUGGAAAGCGGGGGAACCAGUCAAUUGGGGCGAAUCAUUCAAAUUAGAGUGUAGGGUACCAUCUUACCCGAGUCCGUCAGCUAACCUCGUCAGUA